ACGUGAUGUGGACUGAAAAUAAGUAGGGAAGCACGUGAGCUGACUGUCAAGAAAAGCCGCUAUUGUUUGCAGGAUACCCGUACCGUAAACCGACACAGGUGGAUGAGGAGAGAAUCCUAAGGCCGACGGGAGAAGCAUUGUUAAGGAACUCGGCAAAAUGACUCCGUACUUCGGGAGAAGGAGUGCCAGUAAGAUGGCCGCAGAGAAUUGGCCCAAGCAACUGUUUAGCAAAAACACAGGUCUAUGCAAAACCGAAAGGUGAGGUAUAUGGGCUGACGCCUGCCCGGUGCUGGAAGGUUAAGGGGAGAGGUUAGCGCAAGCGAAGCUUUGAACUUAAGCCCCAGUAAACGGCGGCCGUAACAAUAACGGUCCUAAGGUAGCGAAAUUCCUUGUCGGGUAAGUUCCGACCCGCACGAAAGGCGUAAUGAUUUGGGCACUGUCUCAACAAUGCACCCGGUGAAAUUGAAAUACCAGUGAAGAUGCUGGUUACCUGCGCCAGGACGGAAAGACCCCAUGGAGCUUUACUCCAGCUUGAUACUGGGAUUCGGUAUUGCAUGUACAGGAUAGGUGGGAGGCUAGGAAAUGGUAACGCCAGUUGCCAUGGAGCCAAUGUUGGGAUGCCACCCUUGCAGUACUGGGUUUCUAACCAGCAGCCGUGAUCCGGCUGGGGGACAAUGUCAGGAGGGGAGUUUGACUGGGGCGGUCGCCUCCGAAAGGGUAUCGGAGGCGCUCAAAGGUUCCCUCAGAAUGGUUGGAAGCCAUUCGAAGAGUGCAAAGGCAGAAGGGAGCUUGACUGCGACACCGACGGGUGGAGCAGGUACGAAAGUAGGACUUAGUGAUCCGGUGGUAUAAAGUGGGAUUGCCAUCGCUCAACGGAUAAAAGCUACCCUGGGGAUAACAGGCUUAUCACUCCCAAGAGUUCACAUCGACGGAGUGGUUUGGCACCUCGAUGUCGGCUCAUCGCAUCCUGGGGCUGAAGUAGGUCCCAAGGGUUGGGCUGUUCGCCCAUUAAAGCGGUACGCGAGCUGGGUUCAGAACGUCGUGAGACAGUUCGGUCCCUAUCCGGCGUGGGCGUAAGAUAUUUGAGAGGAGCUGUCCUUAGUACGAGAGGACCGGGAUGGACUGGCCGCUGGUGUAUCUGUUGUCUUACCAAAGGCAUAGCAGAGUAGCCAAGCCGGGAAGGGAUAAACGCUGAAGGCAUCUAAGCGUGAAGCCCCCCUCAAGAUGAGAUAUCUCAUAACGUCAAGUUAGUAAGACCCCUUGAAGACGACGAGGUAGAUAGGGCAGAGGUGGAAGUGUGGUAACACAUGGAGCUGACUGUUACUAAUAGGUCGAGGGCAUAACC
This 1345-nucleotide ribosomal RNA is filed under the name metagenome. RNAcentral describes it as "bacterial LSU rRNA". It matches the Rfam family "Bacterial large subunit ribosomal RNA", at positions 1561 to 2925 of the family's 2925-position model. The record is from RNAcentral.